RNAcentral lists this ribosomal RNA (498 nucleotides) under uncultured bacterium. RNAcentral's name for it is "bacterial SSU rRNA". It matches the Rfam family "Bacterial small subunit ribosomal RNA", at positions 899 to 1397 of the family's 1533-position model. The record is from RNAcentral.
ACUCAAAUGAAUUGACGGGGGCCCGCACAAGCGGAGGAACAUGUGGUUUAAUUCGAUGAUACGCGAGGAACCUUACCCGGGAUUGAAAUGUACCUGAAUACGGUGGAAACACUGUAGCUAGCAAUAGCAGGUAUGUAGGUGCUGCAUGGUUGUCGUCAGCUCGUGCCGUGAGGUGUCGGCUUAAGUGCCAUAACGAGCGCAACCCACAUUGACAGUUACUAACAGGUAAAGCUGAGGACUCUGUCGAGACUGCCGGCGUAAGCUGUGAGGAAGGUGUGGAUGACGUCAAAUCAGCACGGCCCUUACAUCCGGGGCGACACACGUGUUACAAUGGUUGGGACAAAGGGCAGCUACCUGGUGACAGGAUGCGAAUCUCCAAACCCAAUCUCAGUUCGGAUCGGAGUCUGCAACUCGACUCCGUGAAGCUGGAUUCGCUAGUAAUCGCGCAUCAGCCAUGGCGCGGUGAAUACGUUCCCGGGCCUUGUACACACCGCCCGU